AACGAACGCUGGCGGCAUGCCUAACACAUGCAAGUCGAACGGAACCUUCGGGUUUGCUGGCGCACUCGUGCGUAACGCGUUGGAACCUGCCUUUAGGUUCGGCAUAACUCCCCGAAAGGGGUCCUAAUACCGGCUAAUGUCCUCCGACCAACGAUUUAUCGCCUUUGGAUGGGCCCGCGUGGGAUUAGCUCGUUGUUAGGGUAAAAGCCUACCAAGGCGACGAUACAUAGCUGGUCUGAGAGGAUGAGCAGCCACACUGGGACUGAGACACGGCCCAGACUCAUACGGGAGGGAGCAGUGGGGAAUAUUGGAAAAUGGGCGAAAGGCUGAACGAGCAAGGCCGCGUGAGUGAUGAAGGCCUUAGGGUAGUAAAGCAAGUUUAUCCGGGAUGAUAAUGACGGUACCGGGAGAAUAAGCACCGGCUAACUUCGUG
This 433-nucleotide ribosomal RNA is filed under the name uncultured bacterium. Its description in RNAcentral is "partial 16S ribosomal RNA". It matches the Rfam family "Bacterial small subunit ribosomal RNA", at positions 29 to 507 of the family's 1533-position model. The record is from RNAcentral.